Molecule: ribosomal RNA, 1553 nt
Filed under: gamma proteobacterium MTW-13
Lineage: Bacteria; Pseudomonadati; Pseudomonadota; Gammaproteobacteria
Description: partial 16S rRNA
Rfam family: Bacterial small subunit ribosomal RNA
Source: RNAcentral
GCUCAGAAUUGAAACCCUGGCGGCAGGCCCUAACACCAUGCAAGUCGACCGGUACCAGAGAGUAGCUUGCUACUCUGCUGACGAGCGGCGGACGGGUGAGUAAAUGCUUGGGAAACUGCCCAGUCGUGGGGAACAACUAUUGGAAACGAUAGCUAAUACCGCAUACCGCCUACGGGGUAAAGAAGGGGACUCUUCGGAGCCUUUCGCGAUUGGAUGUGCCCAAGUGGGAUUAGCUAGUUGGUGAGGUAAAGGCUCACCAAGGCGACGAUCCCUAGCUGGUUGAGAGGAUGAAUCAGCCCACACUGGAACUGAGAACACGGGACCAAGACCCCUACUGGGAGGCAGCCAGUGGGGAAAUAUUGCUACAUUGACGAAAAGACCUGAUGCAGCCCAUGCCCGCGUGUUAUGGAAAGAAAGGUCCUCGGGUUGUUAAAGUACUUUCAGCGAGCAGGAAAGGUUGGUGGUUAAUAACCAUCAGCUGUGACGUUACUCGCAGUAGAAGGUACCGGGCUAACUCCGUGCCAGCAGCCGCCGGUAAUACGGAGGGUCCGAGCGUUAAUCGAAAUUACUGGCCGUAAAGCGUACGCAGGCGGUUUGUUAAGCGAGAUGUGAAAGCCCCGGGCUCAACCUGGGAACUGCAUUUCGAACUGACAAACUAGAGUUUUGUAGAGGGUGGUAGAAUAUCAGGUGUAGCGGUGAAAUGCGUAGAGAUCUGAAGGAAUACCAGUGGCGAAGGCGGCCACCUGGACAAUUAACUGACGCUCAUUGUACGAAAGCGUGGAUGCAAAACGGAAUUAGAUACCCCGGUAGUCCACGCCGUAAACCGAUGUCAACUAGCCGACUGGACCCUUGAGGUCUGGGUGGCGCAGCUAACGCAUUAAGUUGACCGCCUGGGGAGUACGGCCGCAAGGUUAAAACUCAAAUGAAUUGACGGGGGCCCGCACAAGCGGUGGAGCAUGUGGUUUAAUUCGAUGCAACGCGAAGAACCUUACCUACUCUUGACAUCCACAGAAUUCGCUAGAGAUAGCUUAGUGCUUCGGGAACUGUGAAACAGGUGCUGCAUGGCUGUCGUCAGACCGUGUUGUGAAAUGAUUGGGUUUAAGAAAACGCCUACGAGCGAAACCACUUGUUCCAUUAGUUACCAUGCAACGAUUAAUAAUGGGUUACAACUUGGAAAGUAAUACCGGUUGAAUAAAAAAGGAGAAAGAAUGGGGACGACGUCAAGAACUUCAUGGCCCUUACGAGAAGGGCUACACACGUGCUAAAAAUGGUACAUACACAAGGGUUGCAAAAAUCGACGGGACCGAACUAAGCCCCAAAAGAUGUAACGUAAUCCGGAACGGAAUCUGCGACUCGACUCCGUGAAAGUCGGAAUCGCUAGUAAUCGUAGAUCAGAAUGCCUACGGUGAAUACGGUUCCCGGGCCUUGUUACACACCGUCCGGUCACACCAUGGGGAGUGGGCUUGCACCAGAAGUAGAUAGCUUAACCUAGCUUGCUAGGAGGGCGUUUACCACGGUGUGGUUCAUGACUGGGGUGAAGUCGUAACAAGGUA